CAAGGUCGUUGUAGUAUAGUGGUGAGUAUUCCCGCCUGUCACGCGGGUGACCCGGGUUCGAUCCCCGGCAACGGCGAUUUUUUGUCUUAUUAUAAUUAUAGUUUUUGUUUCAGAAAAGCUAUCUAGCUAGCCAGUGGAGGGAGCUUGUGAUUUUCACCCCCGCCACUAAAACCCUCUCUCUUCCUUUGCGUCAAAAUAAUUUCGCGUUUGACUUGGCUAAAUCUAAAGCAAAAGGAGUGGAAGAAGAUCAAAAGGAGGAGGAGGUCUUUGAUUAAUUUUACUCGUAUCUCUCUAUAACGGUGCCUCCGGGGACAAGAAGCACUAAAGCUCUUCCAGGGGUCAAGAUCGGUAUCCUUACCCUGUUGGAAUGCGUUGGCACUUCUGCAGAUUACUUCAACUGAUGGAUAUUCAUGUUCCGGUCAAAUUCCUGAUAUUGCGUGGCAGAAAUUUCAAAAGAAUUGUUGCCCUCACACAAAGACUUGGCAUGGAAAAAGAUUUUCAUGCAAGAUAGAUGGCAUAGAGGUAAGUGAAUCCGGUUCCUUCCUCAAAUCAGUUCAAUUUUGAAUUUGCAUUUGUUGCAAAUAAUUAUUGCUGUAGCAACGCCUUUAAUAUGUUCUGAUAUUCAUCUUGCGGAAACUUGAAUAAGCUUGGCUCACAUCAAAUACAAGUCUCUAACCCUUGUAGCUAAGAUGCUUUAACGCUCACGUUUGUUACAUUUCACGGUAUUGGAUGUUACAAAUAUCCAACUUACAUAACCUCAAUUUUCAGUAAGCUGGCAUCUCAGUGGCUCGUGUUGUUCUUCUGCUCUCAACUCGUGAAAUUAUUGACUCUUCCUGAUUACUUCGUUGUUGUAACUAGAAUUUGUUUAUACCUUCUUGAUUGCUGGGAAAGAUACAGAAAGGUUACGCUUAUUUUUAAAAACUUCCUUCUCUUGUGCAUGAGAAAUGUAGGUUUUUGGGUUCAAAAAUCCAUGUCCAGAGGUUACUUCGAGAACUGGUGGCAAGUAUAAAUGAAAUUGCAGAACAGAACCCAUUAUCCCCUAUCUUCCACAAUGGGGCCUCUAGAACAGAGCAAAAUAACCGAUCCCCAGACGCGUGCACACAUCCAGAUCUACUACCCUACUUGCCAAGAUCACGGGUUAAGGGAAAGGGACGAGAAAUUGCGAACAAGUUCUUUGCAGUAGCUAACAUCUUUAUACAAUACUGCUUGUUAGCAUUUAUUUUCUGCUAAUCUAUUCCUUGCAGUAGUUUGCUUUUCCAAAUAAAUUCUGUAUGGUAUAAUUAUUUUUUUAAAAUUAAUCAGUCUGGUGAAGUCUUAACCUCCAGAGAUUGAAGAUUUGAAGGUGA
Molecule: long non-coding RNA, 1346 nt
Organism: Populus nigra (black poplar)
Lineage: Eukaryota; Viridiplantae; Streptophyta; Magnoliopsida; Malpighiales; Salicaceae
Exons: 2
Source: RefSeq, a predicted model, not a curated record